GAAAUAUAUUAUAAUUAAGCUGCUAACUUAAUUUUUAGUGAUUUAUUAUCAUUAAUAUUUCU
This 62-nucleotide transfer RNA is filed under the name Heliconius cydno. RNAcentral describes it as "tRNA-Ser". The record is from RNAcentral. RNAcentral also lists the same sequence under 2 other names. Lineage: Eukaryota; Metazoa; Arthropoda; Insecta; Lepidoptera; Nymphalidae.